AGAGUUUGAUCCUGGCUCAGAUUGAACGCUGGCGGCAGGCCUAACACAUGCAAGUCGAGCGGAUGAGUGGAGCUUGCUCCAUGAUUCAGCGGCGGACGGGUGAGUAAUGCCUAGGAAUCUGCCUGGUAGUGGGGGACAACGUCUCGAAAGGAACGCUAAUACCGCAUACGUCCUACGGGAGAAAGCAGGGGACUUUCGGGCCUUGCGCUAUCAGAUGAGCCUAGGUCGGAUUAGCUAGUUGGUGAGGUAACGGCUCACCAAGGCGACGAUCCGUAACUGGUCUGAGAGGAUGAUCAGUCACACUGGAACUGAGACACGGUCCAGACUCCUACGGGAGGCAGCAGUGGGGAAUAUUGGACAAUGGGCGAAAGCCUGAUCCAGCCAUGCCGCGUGUGUGAAGAAGGUCUUCGGAUUGUAAAGCACUUUAAGUUGGGAGGAAGGGCAGUAAGUUAAUACCUUGCUGUUUUGACGUUACCGACAGAAUAAGCACCGGCUAACUUCGUGCCAGCAGCCGCGGUAAUACGAAGGGUGCAAGCGUUAAUCGGAAUUACUGGGCGUAAAGCGCGCGUAGGUGGUUCAGCAAGUUGGAUGUGAAAGCCCCGGGCUCAACCUGGGAACUGCAUUCGAUACUGCAUGGCUAGAGUCUGAUAGAGGGAAGUGGAAUUCCAGGUGUAGCGGUGAAAUGCGUAGAUAUCUGGAA
This 700-nucleotide ribosomal RNA is filed under the name uncultured bacterium. RNAcentral's name for it is "bacterial SSU rRNA". It matches the Rfam family "Bacterial small subunit ribosomal RNA", at positions 8 to 703 of the family's 1533-position model. The record is from RNAcentral.